AUUGAACGCUGGCGGAAUGCUUUACACAUGCAAGUCGAGCGGCAGCGCGGGGCAACCUGGCGGCGAGCGGCGAACGGGUGAGUAACAUAUCGGAACGUACCCAGUCGUGGGGGAUAACUAUCCGAAAGGAUAGCUAAUACCGCAUACGACCUGAGGGUGAAAGGGGGGGAUCGCAAGACCUCUCGCGAUUGGAGCGGCCGAUAUCGGAUUAGCUAGUUGGUGAGGUAAAGGCUCACCAAGGCGACGAUCCGUAGCUGGUCUGAGAGGACGACCAGCCACACUGGAACUGAGACACGGUCCAGACUCCUACGGGAGGCAGCAGUGGGGAAUUUUGGACAAUGGGGGCAACCCUGAUCCAGCCAUUCCGCGUGAGUGAAGAAGGCCUUCGGGUUGUAAAGCUCUUUCGGUCAGGAACGAAACGGUGAGCGUCUAACAUAGCUUGCUAAUGACGGUACCUGAAGAAGAAGCACCGGCUAACUACGUGCCAGCAGCCGCGGUAA
RNAcentral lists this ribosomal RNA (500 nucleotides) under uncultured bacterium. Its description in RNAcentral is "bacterial SSU rRNA". It matches the Rfam family "Bacterial small subunit ribosomal RNA", at positions 29 to 523 of the family's 1533-position model. The record is from RNAcentral.